RNAcentral lists this unclassified non-coding RNA (876 nucleotides) under Hevea brasiliensis (rubber tree). The record is from RNAcentral. Lineage: Eukaryota; Viridiplantae; Streptophyta; Magnoliopsida; Malpighiales; Euphorbiaceae.
UCACGAGCAUCAACUGGUUCCUUAAAUGGCCAAGCAUCAACAUGGUCAUGCAUUGACUGUUAAAAUGCAAAAAGAACAAAUAAAUUUUUGCAUGAAAUUGUGAUAAAACAAUAAAAAAGUGUAAGCCCAAUCAAUGGAAAAACCAAGAGGAUUAAAAUAUGAAAAUAUAUUUAUAUAAUAACACAACCUACAAGAGGUACUUUGCUUAAUUGGUUACUGAAUUUCAAGCUAAUUCUAGGUCAACUACUAAAGAUUAACUUGUUCCAAUAAUCCAAUUUCAUCACCAUACUUUCUUUUUCUUUUUAUAUGCAAUUUAGCAUUGUUGGCAUCAUGAUCACUCAGUGAAUUAUAUCACCAUUUUCCAAUAUCAAUUGCCAUUUAUACAUAUUUUAUUUUCUAUUUGAGUGUUAUUAAUAAUGUGUUAUAUUCAAUUGUCUAUGAUUUUGACUUAAAUGAUAGGAACAAUUCCAAUGAAAUUUCUUGAAUUUGCAGUGAGAUAAUUCAUCAGAAUGUUUGCAAUUCUGUCAGUGAUAAGUAAAUAGUAAAUUAAAUGGAAAUUCAAGGGUAAAACUGGAAUAAAAUGAUCUUUAGCGACUUAAUUUCAAUUAAGAACAAAUUUCAGUUGCAAACAGUAAAUUUGUGCAUACAAAAAGUGACAUACUGCUCAACCCAUUGGAUACCUUAUAUCAUAGACAAUAUUCUAUCCAAACUGUGAUAUAUCCAUCAAGCAAUCAACAGAAGUAAAUCUUAUUUUUUAGAUGGUAAGAGUUGAUAAACAUGAAAGUAAACCUGGCAAAGUAAUCUAAUCUAAACUGAUUUAAACUUCAAAUUGAGUUAAGCUUUGCAAUUAACUCAGUGUUAUCAAGGCGAAAGGCG